UACGGAGGGUGCGAGCGUUGUCCGGAAUCACUGGGCGUAAAGGGCGCGUAGGCGGCUGUGUAAGUCACUUGUGAAAUCCCGGGGCUCAACUCCGGGGCUGCAGGUGAGACUGCAUGGCUAGAGCACGGUAGAGGCAAGUGGAAUUCCCGGUGUAGCGGUGGAAUGCGUAGAUAUCAGGAGGAACACCGGUGGCGAAGGCGGGUCUCUGGGCAGUAACUGACGCUGAGGAGCGAAAGCGUGGGGAGCGAACAGG
RNAcentral lists this ribosomal RNA (253 nucleotides) under uncultured bacterium. RNAcentral's name for it is "partial 16S ribosomal RNA". It matches the Rfam family "Bacterial small subunit ribosomal RNA", at positions 524 to 776 of the family's 1533-position model. The record is from RNAcentral.